GCGCUCGUGGCGGAAUCGGAAUACGCGCAAGCUUGAGGAGCUUGGCCCUUUGGGGCGUGAGAGUUCGAGUCUCUCCGAGCGCA
This 83-nucleotide transfer RNA is filed under the name Candidatus Shapirobacteria bacterium. Its description in RNAcentral is "tRNA-Leu". It matches the Rfam family "tRNA". Rfam says of the family: Transfer RNA (tRNA) molecules are approximately 80 nucleotides in length. Their secondary structure includes four short double-helical elements and three loops (D, anti-codon, and T loops). Lineage: Bacteria; Candidatus Shapironibacteriota. The record is from RNAcentral.